Long non-coding RNA from Aphis gossypii (cotton aphid), 210 nucleotides. RefSeq lists it as uncharacterized. The record is from RefSeq and is a predicted model, not a curated record. The transcript has 3 exons. NCBI's taxonomy places the organism in Eukaryota, Metazoa, Arthropoda, Insecta, Hemiptera, Aphididae.
UACAUAUGACGAUGGCUAUGAAAAUUUAAGCUGUAAUUCAGAUUCAACGCCCAUUACAGUUUAUCCUGCUUCAACUUCAAAAUCUAACCUUGAAAUACAACAGGUACAAAAUAGUUAUGAAGAACUAAAUUUUUCAAAUUUAGCAAAUUUUGUGCUAUCUGAAAAUCAUUCGGCUGAACCGUUGCCAAGUACAUCUGAUGAAUAUCCAAA